Non-coding RNA from Paramuricea clavata, 794 nucleotides. The record is from the annotation of a GenBank genome assembly. Lineage: Eukaryota; Metazoa; Cnidaria; Anthozoa; Malacalcyonacea; Plexauridae.
CAUUACAGGUGUUACCACCAUGGGCUUUACUUCUCCUUCGACUUUGUAUAUCAAUAUUUUGUGUAACCAUUAUGAUUGUUAGUGUUGCUCGAAGAGCGGAUUCAAGAUGGCUGAUUUACCUCACAAAUUGGAGUUAUUUCCUGCUUACUGUGUCAAUGAUCGGACUAACGCUAAUUAGCAUAUUCCACGUUUUGAAGAACAAAAGUGACUCGGAAAAUAAUUGGCGAAAGGAAGCGUACUAAAUGAAGAACACCAAACAAUCAGAUACUCAAAUCACAGUUACUGAAAUUCCAGAUACGGAAUUGCCAAUGCCUUUGGAUCAAUUGGAUGAUGGCGGGUGUAUUGCCACACCAUCAUUAGUUUGGUACGAGAAGACCGUGUGGUUUCUGUGGGUUAUUCCAGCCAACGCAGGUUUGGUUGUCACCGCUGAGCACUGGUUACUAUUAUUCAGACCUCCAACAAGCUUUAUGGAUAUAUCUGUUCACACAUUGAAUUCAUUUUUAUUCUGAUCGAGCUAUUCGCUGGAAAACUACCUGUCCGUAUUUUACAUUGGGUUUACAUGAUGAUAUUUUCUAUAAUUUAUGCUGUGUUUACUAUAACUUACUGGGCAGCUGGCGGAGUGAACGGUAGAGGAGACCCGUUUAUUUACCGCAUAUUAGACUACGAAAAUGGCAAGCCUGGUUCAAUAGCGGCUCGGUGUUGCUUUGUUCUGUUUUUAUUGUUGCGCCUUUGGUACAGUUUAUUUUAUACGGAUUACACCGAAUUAGACUUCGGCUGGACAAGUAGAAAAAUAC